GACGAACGCUGGCGGCGCGCUUAACACAUGCAAGUCGAACAGAAAGGCCUGCUUUCCCUUGUGGAUUGCGGGUACUCGAGUGGCGAACGGGUGAGUAACACGUGAGUGAUCUGCCCCCAACUUGGGUAUAAGCCUGGGAAACUGGGUCUAAUUCCCGAUAGGACUGCAGGGUGGUGCCUGUGGUGGAAAACGAUUUUCUAGUGGUUGGGGAUGAGCUCGCGGCCUAUCAGCUUGUUGGUGGGGUAAUGGCCUACCAAGGCGGCGACGGGUAGCCGGCCUGAGAGGGUGGACGGCCACAUUGGGACUGAGAUACGGCCCAGACUCCUACGGGAGGCAGCAGUGGGGAAUAUUGCACAAUGGGCGGAAGCCUGAUGCAGCGACGCCGCGUGGGGGAUGACGGCCUUCGGGUUGUAAACUCCUUUCGACCGCGAGGAAGCCACCUGGUUGGAAGGGUGGUGACGGUAGUGGUAGAAGAAGCACCGGCUAACUACGUG
This 494-nucleotide ribosomal RNA is filed under the name uncultured bacterium. RNAcentral's name for it is "partial 16S ribosomal RNA". It matches the Rfam family "Bacterial small subunit ribosomal RNA", at positions 28 to 507 of the family's 1533-position model. The record is from RNAcentral.